Molecule: microRNA precursor, 103 nt
Filed under: Marmota monax (woodchuck)
Lineage: Eukaryota; Metazoa; Chordata; Mammalia; Rodentia; Sciuridae
Source: RNAcentral
AGUGGGAUAGCUGGGUCAAAUACUGGUUCCACUCCAAGUUUUCUGAGGAAUACCCAUAUUGCUUUUCAUAACAGUUGCACCAAUUUGCAAUCCCACCAGCAAU